GACGAACGCUGGCGGCGUGCUUAACACAUGCAAGUCGAACGGUGAAAGCGGAGCUUGCUCCGCUGGAUCAGUGGCGAACGGGUGAGUAACACGUGGGCAACCUGCCUCUGACUUCGGGAUACCUCCUCGAAAGAGGUGCUAAUACCGGAUACGAAUCCUGCAGGCAUCUGCGGGAUUGGAAAGUUUUCCGGUCAGGGAUGGGCCCGCGGCCUAUCAGCUUGUUGGUGAGGUAGUGGCUCACCAAGGCGACGACGGGUAGCCGGCCUGAGAGGGCGACAGGCAACACUGGGACUGAGACACGGCCCAGACUCCUACGGGAGGCAGCAGUGGGGAAUAUUGCGCAAUGGGCGAAAGCCUGACGCAGCAACGCCGCGUGAGGGAUGACGGCCUUCGGGUUGUAAACCUCUUUCAGCAGGGAAGAAGCGAAAGUGACGGUACCUGCAGAAGAAGCACCGGCUAACUACGUGCCAGCCGCCGCAGUAA
RNAcentral lists this ribosomal RNA (483 nucleotides) under uncultured bacterium. Its description in RNAcentral is "partial 16S ribosomal RNA". It matches the Rfam family "Bacterial small subunit ribosomal RNA", at positions 28 to 523 of the family's 1533-position model. The record is from RNAcentral.